Molecule: long non-coding RNA, 976 nt
Organism: Anopheles gambiae (African malaria mosquito)
Lineage: Eukaryota; Metazoa; Arthropoda; Insecta; Diptera; Culicidae
Exons: 3
Source: RefSeq, a predicted model, not a curated record
UGCCGAACUUACGCUUCACACCGAUUAUUUUACCAAGUGAAAAUCGACCAGCUAGCACUUCUACAAAACUUGUUGCAUGUAAUGAUGUUUAUACACCACAUGAUUUGAGACAUAUUUCAAACGAUGAUCAGCAUAAAUGUUGCAAAUGUAGUACGGACGAAGUUCAUAAACUGAAACAACAGCUAGCUGUGAGCGAAGCAUUGAAUAACAAAUUAGAAGAGGAAUUAAAGUAUUAUAAAAAUGUUCUAGAGCAAAAGUUAGAAAUUGUUUUAAAAAAUUCGGCCUAUCAACGAGAAGCGUUCCAGGAGUUCGUUACUGUGAGUCGUCCAAGAGAAGGUCUUCUUCCCAAAACUAAUUUUGAAUUCGCUCCAAUGCAAAACGAUGAAGAGUUGCAAAAUUUUGACAGACAGUUAGGUACAGAUGCAGAGUACAAAGCAAAAGUCGUUCGUUAUUUACAAAAACAAGUAGAUCGAUCAGAUGUGCUGAAUCGUCUGCAUUCUUUAAUAGACUUGCUGUUUGGCAAAACAUUUUUCUCUAAAUUUUGUUGGAUGCGUAGUUAUGAUAAAAAAAUCCCAAAAAACCAUUUAACAUUUAUAAAAACGUUAUAAACCUGUUUCAAAUAAUAGGGACAAAUGAAAAUAUUAUGCCUUCCACAGCAUUUGUCAAAGAAUUUCUUCAGCAAAAAUUUAAAAAUUCCUUAAAACGAAUCCAUGUCUCCGAUCUCAAAACUACAACAUCAUUUAAAAAAGUUAAUGUUAAUAACGAUGAUUAAUCUUUAUAACCCAAUCAGAAAAUCAAGCAAAAGCUAUUGAAUUGAAAUCUAUUUAGUAGGGAGUAUGCCGAUUCGUAACAGUUUACAAUUUCUUGGCUGUGGCAUAAUUGGUACAAUUAUGUGUAUGUUACUACGUUACCUAAUACUAAGCUAACUGAUAUGUUAAACGAACUAAUGCAUUCAAUAUGAACUGAUGAUGCGAUG